UGACACUGGUGCGCGAGAUGAGUAUUCUAAGGCGCUUGAGAGAACUCAGGAGAAGGAACUCGGCAAAUUGACACCGUAACUUCGGAAGAAGGUGUGCCCUAGUAGUGUGAAGUGAACAACGGAGCAUGAAUGGGUUGCAAAAAAUCGGUGGCUGCGACUGUUUAUUAAAAACACAGCACUCUGCAAACACGAAAGUGGACGUAUAGGGUGUGACGCCUGCCCGGUGCUGGAAGAUUAAAUGAUGGGGUGCAAGCUCUUGAUUGAAGUCCCAGUAAACGGCGGCCGUAACAAUAACGGUCCUAAGGUAGCGAAAUUCCUUGUCGGGUAAGUUCCGACCUGCACGAAUGGCGUAACGAUGGCCACACUGUCUCCUCCUGAGACUCAGCGAAGUUGAAAUGUUUGUGAUGAUGCAAUCUCCCCGCGGAAAGACGGAAAGACCCCAUGAACCUUUACUGUAGCUUUGUAUUGGACUUUGAACAGAUCUGUGUAGGAUAGGUGGGAGGCUUUGAAGCAGGGUCGCUAGAUCUUGUGGAGCCAACGUUGAAAUACCACCCUGGUGUGUUUGAGGUUCUAACCUAGGUCCAUUAUCUGGAUCGGGGACAGUGCAUGGUAGGCAGUUUGACUGGGGCGGUCUCCUCCCAAAGCGUAACGGAGGAGUUCGAAGGUACGCUAGUUACGGUCGGACAUCGUGACGAUAGUGCAAUGGCAUAAGCGUGCUUAACUGCGAGACUGACAAGUCGAGCAGAUGCGAAAGCAGGACAUAGUGAUCCGGUGGUUCUGUAUGGAAGGGCCAUCGCUCAACGGAUAAAAGGUACUCUGGGGAUAACAGGCUGAUACCGCCCAAGAGUUCAUAUCGACGGCGGUGUUUGGCACCUCGAUGUCGGCUCAUCUCAUCCUGGGGCUGUAGCCGGUCCCAAGGGUAUGGCUGUUCGCCAUUUAAAGAGGUACGUGAGCUGGGUUUAAAACGUCGUGAGACAGUUUGGUCCCUAUCUUCCGUGGGCGCUGCAGAUUUGAGGAAGCCUGCUCCUAGUACGAGAGGACCGGAGUGGACACACCUCUGGUGUAUCGGUUGUCACGCCAGUGGCAUUGCCGAGUAGCUAAGUGUGGAAGAGAUAACCGCUGAAAGCAUCUAAGCGGGAAACUCGUUUCAAGAUGAGAUCUGCCGGGGCCUUGAGCCCCCUGAAGAGUCGUUCAAGACCAGGACGUUGAUAGGUCAGGUGUGGAAGCGCAGUAAUGCGUUAAGCUAACUGAUACUAAUUGCUCGUGCGGCUUGACCCU
Molecule: ribosomal RNA, 1278 nt
Filed under: metagenome
Description: bacterial LSU rRNA
Rfam family: Bacterial large subunit ribosomal RNA
Source: RNAcentral